This is a non-coding RNA of Dermacentor andersoni, 3155 nucleotides long. The record is from RefSeq and is a predicted model, not a curated record. NCBI's taxonomy places the organism in Eukaryota, Metazoa, Arthropoda, Arachnida, Ixodida, Ixodidae.
GUUGGGCAAAGGUAUUGGUUUGUAAAGAGCAAAGCCAUUAAGAUAUAAAAUAUUGGCAAGCUUAGUUUAACAAUAAGCUGACGAAUAUACAAAACCUAAUGUAGCAGCAGAUGUUCUCCAAGAUAAGCUUGUGACCAGCUUUUUUGUGUUCUGUGUGAUCAUUGUAGUGUCAAAUUUUUCAUUUUUAUUUCAGGACUGCGGCUGCAGUCGUUUCAUUGCCAAAUGUGAGGAUGAAGCAGCUUCAUGGCCGGAGAUCGGGCGCCUCCCAUCAGUUUCCCUUUUCAGCAAUAGAGGCCUUGGAGGCCUUUCUACCUGCGUUGCAUCCUGUGGCUGGACCACUCCAACGAUCUCGGCAGAAUCGUUACACAGGAAGAAGUCUGGCUGGCCCCAAGCCUGGUUCAAAAUGAAGAAAUGGCACUCCACAUCAAUUCAUGUUUACUUGUCGUCAUAACCAGUCUGUUAGCUUAAUUUUUGGUUCUUCCUAUUGAAUUCUCAAGAAAGGUACCAACUCUAUCAUUCAUUGAAAACAAAUUUUUGCACUUGGGGAUGCAGCCAUGCACAAAGCCUUUGAGCUCAUUAAUAUCUUUAUUUUUUAAAGAAAGUGCAGCUCCUGCGUGGAGCAAUAGGUUGAAUAAGAUGAGGGUAAAUGAAAAGAUGGCAAAAUUAGUCAUCAACAGUUGUCCAAAAAAGGAAGUCUCAAGCUGGAGGCAACAUCUUUGCAAGAGAACCAAAUGGCUCCAGCCUGAGACAUUCGUUGUUCAACCUGGCAAGUCUCCUUCUCGAAAUAUUUCCUCUAGCCUGAGACCUAUAUCCAUUCCACCACCCUUGACCAACAAUACACCUAUACAUUUGGCAACCCAUGGAAAGGUAGCAAAUUCACAUUCAAGGAAAGGGAAUGUAGUGUGCACCCUGGAAGGUAGCAUGAACAGUAUUUUAUUUACUUAAUGAAAUGCAGAUUUGCUAUCCAUUUACUUUAUUUUGAUCCCCGUUUUAUAAUUGGACAGCAUGGUUCCUCAGAGAGAAUAAUUCGAAGCUCACACAAUAUCGCUCCUUUAUGUCCGUUAAAUCUGUCCUGGUUGCUACACUAUCAGCCCUGUCUGCAAUUGCAUAGCAGUGUUUUGAGCAUGCAUCCGAAUUCAAAAGAAUAGUUAGGCUUCUACCUCAGAAUGUUUGCUACUGUGUUGCAGCUCGAAUUCUAUGUCUAGGUGGUCACUGUGAUGCCAUGUGCUUUUUAAAUAAGACCAAUAUGCUAUUUGAAGGGCAAUUAAAUGCAAUCUCAAAUGACCUCAGCUCGGGGAAUGACACAAUUGGAGGUCAAUGUGAUGAGGAGGAUUUGAUUUCUGAAAACAAGGCACUUAAACGGGAGAAAGCAUGACUAAUUUCGUAUAAAAAUGCUGCUUUUGGAUAUGAUCAGGGAAGGUACUUGUUCGUGGCUGCAUUUGCAACAUGUUACAUUGCUGGCUUUAUAUAUUGCACUGGGUACAGUGAAAUGUUGCUGCUUGCACAAUAUUCAACUAAACAUGGUAGCCAUGCUAAUGUGUCCAUGCAGAACACAACUCAUCCACUAUUAUGGACUACAGUGGAAUCUCGAUAAACGAAAAUCGCUUCGAAACUGCCGCUUAAAUAGGACACCAUCCUGAUAAUUGGUUGGCUCUCUGCAAUGUCUCUCAGUAAAUAUAAUGCCUGGUAAAUGGAACCAAUUUCCCUGGCACCUUGAGGCUCCAUUUAAAGAGCACCCACUGUAAAAAUAUAGGGGGGAUCGUGUUUGGAACUUUCGUAAAUGUAGUCCUAAAUAAAACCGCAUUUCAGUGGGAGCGAAAUGCAAAAGCACCCGUGUACUUAGACAGGUGCAUGGUAAAGAACCCCAGGUUGUCCAAAUUAUUUCGGGGUUACUCGCUAUGGCAUGUGUCAUAAUCAGAAGGUGGGUUCUGGUUCCUAAAUUGCAAUAAUUUUUAAUAGCUUGCUCAGAAAUCCAGCACUAAAUUAUGUAGCUUGUUUGUGUGAUGAGUCCCAAUUUCUUAAUUUAGUUCUUUGACAUUUAUCAUAUUUGUGUGCUAGUCCAUGCAAAAUACCACUGAUCGGCCUCAUUAUACCAGCCACUGUUAAUUAGGAAUGGCUUAGUCAAGCAACUUGAACUUACAGCACAAACACCUAAGACGAACCACAAAAGGAAGAUACGACACACACUGGUGCUAGCAACUUCUUUAUUUCUUCGUCGUCGAUGCAAUAUAAACCCUAGGCCACACUACCGCGCAGGCACUCAGAUUACAUUACAGAGAUCUGCCAAAUUAUCACAUACGCAAGCGUAGGAAGUCAAAUUCAGAUGGAUGCAGGGACAAAGAUAUCUUACUAAUGCAAUUAUCGCCCUGCCUUUCUUGUGGUAAGCCUCUAAGGCAAGCCGCACAUGCUCAAAAAUGUAGAUAGAAGACUGCACAUUGUUGCGCAUAUAAACUCUUGCAAAAAUUGUGAGGCACGACUUGAUGGGACGUCGAUUCUUGGCAAAAGCAUGAAUGAGCUUGCGCGGCUUGCCUUAGAGGCCUACCACAUAAAAAGGCAAAAUGAUAAUUGCAUCAGUGACAUAGCUUUGUCCCUGCACCCAUCUGAAUUUGAGUUCCUACGUUUGCAUAUGUGAUAAUUUGGGAGAUCUCUGUAAUGUAAUGUGUGCGCCUGUGCAGUUGUGUGGCCUAGGGCAUAUAUAUGCAUCGACAACGAAGAAAUAAAGAAGUUGUCAGUUAGCGCCAGCGUGUGUCGUAUCUGCCUUUUGCGGUUCGUCUUAGGUGUUUGCGCUGUAAGUUUUAAGUUCAGAAUUAUGUACCAACUAGGCCAAAUUAAGUUUUACUCUUAGUCAAGCGAGCUCAAUAUAUAGUCUGCAAAAGUGUGGAGUGUCAGUACAAAGUAACAGUUCAAACACAUGGCUGUGUAGUUACAGUUCAGUAUGAAAGGAGAUAAGAUUUCUUAGCAUUUCUUUCAUUUACUAAUUUCAUUGUGUUAGGACAUGUAGAAUACUAGCAACUGGCAUGCUUACAAUGUACAGUGCUCUUUAUUAAAAUCCAGACAAUUGUUUUACUGGGGCAGAAAUGUGCUUUCUUUUGGGCCCGGAAGUGAACAUAUUAUAUUUCUUACAUUUGGUGUAAAAUAAAUUUUAUUCACUGUCA